Molecule: non-coding RNA, 21 nt
Filed under: Caenorhabditis elegans
Lineage: Eukaryota; Metazoa; Nematoda; Chromadorea; Rhabditida; Rhabditidae
Source: RNAcentral
UUCCUUUUUGUAAACUUCAAG